This 256-nucleotide ribosomal RNA is filed under the name uncultured bacterium. RNAcentral describes it as "partial 16S ribosomal RNA". It matches the Rfam family "Bacterial small subunit ribosomal RNA", at positions 524 to 776 of the family's 1533-position model. The record is from RNAcentral.
UACGUAGGGUGCAAGCGUUGUCCGGAAUUAUUGGGCGUAAAGAGCUCGUAGGCGGUUUGUUGCGUCGGCUGUGAAAUCCCGAGGCUCAACCUCGGGUCUGCAGUCGAUACGAGCAAACUAGAGUGUUGCAGGGGAGACUGGAAUUCCUGGUGUAGCGGUGAAAGUGCGCAGAUAUCGGAAGGAGACACCCGUGGCGGAAGGCGGCUCUCUGGGACGGUACUGACGCUGAGACGCGAAAGCGUGGGGAGCGAACAGG